AGUGGGAUUACUGGGUCAAAUGGUGGUUCCAUUUCAAGUUUUUUGAGGACUUUCCAUACUGCUUUACAGAAUGGUUGCACUAAUUUGAAGUCCCACAAGCAAU
Molecule: microRNA precursor, 103 nt
Filed under: Marmota monax (woodchuck)
Lineage: Eukaryota; Metazoa; Chordata; Mammalia; Rodentia; Sciuridae
Source: RNAcentral